Molecule: ribosomal RNA, 207 nt
Filed under: uncultured bacterium
Lineage: Bacteria
Description: partial 16S ribosomal RNA
Rfam family: Bacterial small subunit ribosomal RNA
Source: RNAcentral
CUCGUAGGCGGCCAACUAAGUCGGACGUGAAAUCCCUCGGCUUAACCGGGGAACUGCGUCCGAUACUGGAUGGCUAGAGUUCGGGAGAGGGAUGCGGAAUUCCAGGUGUAGCGGUGAAAUGCGUAGAUAUCUGGAGGAACACCGGUGGCGAAGGCGGCAUCCUGGACCGACACUGACGCUGAGGAGCGAAAGCCAGGGGAGCAAACG